UGGGGAAUAUUGCACAAUGGAGGGAACUCUGAUGCAGCGACGCCGCGUGAACGAAGAAGGCUUUCGCGUCGUAAAGUUCUUUUAUAUGGGAAGAUAAUGACGGUACCAUAAGAAGAAGCCCCGGCUAACUACGUGCCAGCAGCCGCGGUAAUACGUAGGGGGCUAGCGUUGUCCGGAAUCACUGGGCGUAAAGGGUUCGCAAGCGGAAAUGCAAGUCAGGUGUAAAAGGCAGUAGCUUAACUACUGUAAGCAUUUGAAACUGCAUAUCUUGAGAAGAGUAGAGGUAAGUGGAAUUUUUAGUGUAGCGGUGAAAUGCGUAGAUAUUAAAAAGAAUACCGGUGGCGAAGGCGACUUACUGGGCUCAUUCUGACGCUGAGGAACGAAAGCGUGGGUAGCAAACAGG
Molecule: ribosomal RNA, 403 nt
Filed under: bacterium
Lineage: Bacteria
Description: partial 16S ribosomal RNA
Rfam family: Bacterial small subunit ribosomal RNA
Source: RNAcentral